AUGUGUCUUUGUGCUGCUGGUGGAUCCUUUCUCGCUGCUACCGUCUCUCGUUUCUAUCUCUUUGCCCAUCUAAUCUUUCCUUCACUCUCUUUCUUUUUUUCCCCUCUCAGGCACACACACACACACACACACACACACUCGAUUUCUUUUUGUCUCCCCAGGUGUGCACUGGUCCAGGUGUAUGUCUUCGCGGGAGCUCAUCACUGCUCUAAUGAGAAUGAUCACCGCUCAUCUGUCUUCAUCCACAUCCAACAGAGAGCACCUGCUACUAUCUGUACCCAAGGGCAGCGCAUGGUCUCGCCGGCUGAGCUAAUACCGAGAAAAAGGAGAGAAUUCCAGGAGGAAAAAGUUCUGGGAGUUGCUGGCACCUCAUCAAGCCACACACACUCCUCGUUCUCUGAUGAGCGUUGAUGCCUGUUCGGCCUCUAAUGUGCCCGAGGUGAAAAAUGAGGUUGACGUAGACAUGGUUAACCAUAAUGCCAAGGCGGAUGCCACCCGAUAGCAGCCAGACACCUGAGAAAGCAGGCCUGGGUCCAGCUCACCACUCACCCCCCUCUCCACUUAUAUUAUUCAUCCCUCUUUGAAAUGCCUUUUAUGCUGCUCAAUUACCCCUCCAGCGGCCCAGUGUGGACACUGUAAUGACAUUCUGAUUAUCAGUCUGUAAAUGAGAAAUGAAAUGAGUGUGUGAUGCCGUGCCAGGGGAAGAAUGGAGCGGCUAGAAGCCUUUCAAAAAUGGGAGCCGUGGAGGAGGCGGAGGA
This 758-nucleotide long non-coding RNA is filed under the name Sparus aurata (gilthead seabream). RNAcentral describes it as "lncRNA (ENSSAUG00010027204.1)". The record is from RNAcentral. Lineage: Eukaryota; Metazoa; Chordata; Actinopteri; Spariformes; Sparidae.